AACGAACGCUGGCGGCAUGCCUAAUACAUGCAAGUCGAGGGGCAGCACGGUUAGCAAUAACUGGUGGCGACCGGCGCACGGGUGCGUAACACGUAUACAAUCUACCUUAAACAGGGGGAUAGCCUUUCGAAAGAGAGAUUAAUACCCCGUAAUAAAUUGAACGGCAUCGUUUGAUUUUGAAAGCUCCGGCGGUUUGAGAUGAGUAUGCGUCUGAUUAGCUAGUUGGUGAGGUAACGGCUCACCAAGGCGACGAUCAGUAGGGGAUCUGAGAGGACUAACCCCCACACUGGUACUGAGACACGGACCAGACUCCUACGGGAGGCAGCAGUAAGGAAUAUUGGUCAAUGGGAGGCAACUCUGAACCAGCCAUGCCGCGUGCAGGAUGACGGCCCUAUGGUUGUAAACUGCUUUGACCAGGGCCAAAAUACUACAUGCGUGAGGAAUUGAGAGUACUGGUAGAAUAAGCACCGGCUAACUCGUGCCAGCAGCCGCGGUAAU
RNAcentral lists this ribosomal RNA (498 nucleotides) under uncultured bacterium. RNAcentral describes it as "bacterial SSU rRNA". It matches the Rfam family "Bacterial small subunit ribosomal RNA", at positions 29 to 524 of the family's 1533-position model. The record is from RNAcentral.